Molecule: ribosomal RNA, 465 nt
Filed under: Vreelandella stevensii
Lineage: Bacteria; Pseudomonadati; Pseudomonadota; Gammaproteobacteria; Oceanospirillales; Halomonadaceae
Description: partial 16S ribosomal RNA
Rfam family: Bacterial small subunit ribosomal RNA
Source: RNAcentral
CCUACGGGUGGCAGCAGUGGGGAAUAUUGGACAAUGAGCGAAAGCCUGAUCCAGCCAUGCCGCGUGUGUGAAGAAGGCCUUCGGGUUGUAAAGCACUUUCAGUGGGGAAGAAAGCCUUGGGGCUAAUACCCUCGAGGAAGGACAUCACCCACAGAAGAAGCACCGGCUAACUCCGUGCCAGCAGCCGCGGUAAUACGGAGGGUGCGAGCGUUAAUCGGAAUUACUGGGCGUAAAGCGCGCGUAGGCGGUCUGAUAAGCCGGUUGUGAAAGCCCCGGGCUCAACCUGGGAACGGCAUCCGGAACUGUCAGGCUAGAGUGCAGGAGAGGAAGGUAGAAUUCCCGGUGUAGCGGUGAAAUGCGUAGAGAUCGGGAGGAAUACCAGUGGCGAAGGCGGCCUUCUGGACUGACACUGACGCUGAGGUGCGAAAGCGUGGGUAGCAAACAGGAUUAGAUACCCCAGUAGUC